RNAcentral lists this ribosomal RNA (253 nucleotides) under uncultured bacterium. Its description in RNAcentral is "partial 16S ribosomal RNA". It matches the Rfam family "Bacterial small subunit ribosomal RNA", at positions 524 to 776 of the family's 1533-position model. The record is from RNAcentral.
UACGUAGGUGGCAAGCGUUGUCCGGAAUUAUUGGGCGUAAAGCGCGCGUAGGCGGUCCUUUAAGUCUGAUGUGAAAGCCCACGGCUCAACCGUGGAGGGUCAUUGGAAACUGGGGGACUUGAGUGCAGAAGAGGAAAGCGGAAUUCCACGUGUAGCGGUGAAAUGCGUAGAUAUGUGGAGGAACACCAGUGGCGAAGGCGGCUUUCUGGUCUGUAACUGACGCUGAGGCGCGAAAGCGUGGGGAGCAAACAGG